CCUACGGGCGGCUGCAGUGGGGAAUAUUGGGCAAUGGGCGCAAGCCUGACCCAGCAACGCCGCGUGAAGGAAGAAGGCUUUCGGGUUGUAAACUUCUUUUGUCAGGGAAGAGUAGAAGACGGUACCUGACGAAUAAGCCACGGCUAACUACGUGCCAGCAGCCGCGGUAAUACGUAGGUGGCAAGCGUUGUCCGGAUUUACUGGGUGUAAAGGGCGUGUAGCCGGGUUGACAAGUCAGAUGUGAAAUCCUGCGGCUUAACCGCAGAACUGCAUUUGAAACUGUUGAUCUUGAGUACUGGAGAGGCAGACGGAAUUCCUAGUGUAGCGGUGAAAUGCGUGGAUAUUAGGGGAAACACCAGUGGCGAAGGCGGUCUGCUGGACAGCAACUGACGGUGAGGCGCGAAAGCGUGGGGAGCAAACAGGAUUAGAUACCCCAGUAGUC
RNAcentral lists this ribosomal RNA (442 nucleotides) under uncultured bacterium. Its description in RNAcentral is "partial 16S ribosomal RNA". It matches the Rfam family "Bacterial small subunit ribosomal RNA", at positions 338 to 795 of the family's 1533-position model. The record is from RNAcentral.